GUCCGGACAGCUCAGGCGGUAGAGCAUUACGCAAUUAACCUAAGGGUCCAGGAUUCGAGUCCCUGUUCGGGCG
Dryococelus australis is the source of this 73-nucleotide non-coding RNA. NCBI's taxonomy places the organism in Eukaryota, Metazoa, Arthropoda, Insecta, Phasmatodea, Phasmatidae. The record is from the annotation of a GenBank genome assembly.